CGGAUCAAAUUCACAUGGCCUCGUCGGCCCCGCGCCGGAAAAUGCCGAAAAUCACGAGCCCCAAUCCCAAUCACGACAGAACCAACAGCUACUACGAGCAAAGAAGCCCAACCACGGUUUCCGGUCGCAAUUGAAGGCCCAGCCCCAACGUGGUUACAAUUGCAGGCCAUGCAAACGCCUCGCACCUCAGCUUGCAGGCCAUGCUUCUUGGGUACACCAGCAAUUGGAAACAGCACGGACCAUGCAUGAGAAAGAGAGCGUAGCAGG
This is a long non-coding RNA of Sorghum bicolor (sorghum), 267 nucleotides long. RefSeq lists it as uncharacterized. NCBI's taxonomy places the organism in Eukaryota, Viridiplantae, Streptophyta, Magnoliopsida, Poales, Poaceae. The record is from RefSeq and is a predicted model, not a curated record. The transcript has 3 exons.